UACGUAGGUGGCAAGCGUUAUCCGGAAUUAUUGGGCGUAAAGAGCGCGCAGGUGGUUGAUUAAGUCUGAUGUGAAAGCCCACGGCUUAACCGUGGAGGGUCAUUGGAAACUGGUCGACUUGAGUGCAGAAGAGGGAAGUGGAAUUCCAUGUGUAGCGGUGAAAUGCGUAGAGAUAUGGAGGAACACCGAUUGCGAAGGCAGCUCGCUGGACAACACGUGACACUGAGGCGCGAAAGUGUGGGGAGCAAACCGGAUUAGA
RNAcentral lists this ribosomal RNA (259 nucleotides) under uncultured prokaryote. RNAcentral's name for it is "partial 16S ribosomal RNA". It matches the Rfam family "Bacterial small subunit ribosomal RNA", at positions 524 to 782 of the family's 1533-position model. The record is from RNAcentral.